This 254-nucleotide ribosomal RNA is filed under the name uncultured bacterium. RNAcentral's name for it is "partial 16S ribosomal RNA". It matches the Rfam family "Bacterial small subunit ribosomal RNA", at positions 524 to 776 of the family's 1533-position model. The record is from RNAcentral.
CACGUAGGGUGCGAGCGUUGUCCGGAAUUAUUGGGCGUAAAGAGCUCGUAGGCGGUCUGUCGCGUCGGUCGUGAAAACUUGGGGCUUAACCCUGAGCUUGCGGUCGAUACGGGCAUGACUGGAGUUCGGCAGGGGAGACUGGAAUUCCUGGUGUAGCGGUGAAAUGCGCAGAUAUCAGGAGGAACACCAAUAGCGAAGGCAGCUCGCUGGGACGUUACUGACACUGAGGCGCGAAGGCGUGGGGAGCGAACGGG